This 477-nucleotide ribosomal RNA is filed under the name uncultured bacterium. RNAcentral describes it as "partial 16S ribosomal RNA". It matches the Rfam family "Bacterial small subunit ribosomal RNA", at positions 28 to 507 of the family's 1533-position model. The record is from RNAcentral.
GAUUAACGCUGGCGGCGUGCAUAACACAUGCAAGUCGAACGAUGAAACUUUAAUGAACCCUUCGGGGAGAAUUAAAGCGGAUUAGUGGCGAACGGGUGAGUAACGCGUGAGUAACCUGCCUUACACAAGGGGAUAGCCUUUGGAAACGAAGAAUAAUACCCUAUAAAACCAUAAAAGCACAUGCAAUUAUGGUCAAAGUGAUAGCGGUGUAAGAUGGACUUGCGUCUGAUUAGCUAGUUGGUGAGAUAAAAGCCCACCAAGGCAACGAUCAGUAGCCGGCUUGGGAGAGUGUACGGCAACAUUGGGACUGGGACACGGCCCAGACUCCUACGGGAGGCAGCAGUGGGGAAAUUUGCACAAUGGGGGAAACCCUGAUGCAGCGACGCCGCGUGAUUUAGAAGGCCUUCGGGUUGUAAAAAUCUUUUGUAUAGGAAGAAAAUGACAGUACUAUACGAAUAAGGUCCGGCUAAUUACGUG